RNAcentral lists this microRNA precursor (106 nucleotides) under Ananas comosus (pineapple). RNAcentral describes it as "MIR319 microRNA precursor family". It matches the Rfam family "MIR319 microRNA precursor family". The record is from Rfam by way of RNAcentral. Lineage: Eukaryota; Viridiplantae; Streptophyta; Magnoliopsida; Poales; Bromeliaceae.
CAGAAGCAGGGGCUCCUUCCAGCCUAAAGCAGAAGCCAAGCCAUCUUUUUGCUUGCCGCACUUCUUGCUUUUGCUUGCUUUGGACUGAAGGGAGCUCCUAAUUCUU